AGCAUUAAAUUAUGGACUUUGUGGCUACUUAAAAAUUGUAUGCCCAAAUUUAUGGUUCAAAACAAGCAUAAAUCAAUAUUUUCAACUCAUAGAAAAUCAAUUAAAUUUAACUAAGAAGAGCGGCAUACGGAGAAUUGUAAAAUUUAAAUGGUUUUCAGCAGCACAGAAGCCUCAUAAAUUUUAAGACGCCAAAAUUUAAAAGUGUUCAAAGCUCAACUGAAAUUCGUUCCCUUUGCAAACGCAAAUUGCAUGUAUUAGACAAUCGAUUUGUUUGCGGAGUAUGGUCAUUGAUUUUCGGCCUCUGUUUUUGCUGCUCUGGCCAAUUGUUGCCACAAUUUGUUAAUGCAAAAGGCGAAAGGCAAAAUAUCGGAUAUGGCGGACCGACUUCAGAGCUCCAAUUCGAGUUUAGUCUGUGAUUUGCGGUAUGUGUUUGUGCAGCGAUGGCGAAACAAUUUUUGUGGUCAAGAGCCUUUCACCAAGCAAGAGGAAUAAAGAGGCGAAGAAUGGAGUAUGGAGUACGGUCCGAGUUCAUAGCUCAUGAACUCUCCUUUUCCCGGAGAUACCCACUUGGGGCUGGUCAUGUUUUCGCCCCCUUUUCGGCCCGGCUAAUACUGUAAGCCAAGCCCCGUUCUUCCCCUUGCCCGGAAAAUUAGUUCAGCCCUUGGCUCGGCUCUUAUUCCUGUUUAAAGAAUGCUUUCUAUGGUUUUGUUUUACGUUCCUUUGCUUCGUAUAUUCCCUCUACUCCUGACUGACUGUUUGGGGUUUCCCUCUGGUCGGAAAUGGGGAAUAAAUGGUUGCUGAGACUUCCAAUCAGCGUACAUUCCUAUCUGUCAAUGGCAAAUCAGUCAAAGCUACAUAACUGUAUCCAUCAAGAGGAAUUACGUUCCCAGAUACAGAAGUAUCUCAAAGUGUUUGGCUGCUAAUGCUAAUGAUAUGCAAGGCUGGCAAAUAGCUAAAAAGGAGCAGCGAUUGGGAAGCAGAAAUCUUCAGCGAGGUGACAGAUAAGAAAAGCCUGUAGAACUGGACAAACUCUACAGCUCGACACUCGGAAUCUGGGCCUUUUGGCAGGAGCUGCUUCCCCAAUUAGCCUCUUGCAAAAUAAAUGGAAAUUUAAAAUAUGGAGUGAGUGCGGCAACCCAUACACAAUAAAGUAAGUGACAGCUUUUGAAGACAAAAACUCUGGCGAUAUUUACUUAUGAGCAGCUCAGACUUGGCAUCCGAAUGCUUUCAUAUCCUCAACUCCAGUGCAGUGAGAAAAAAUAAGUUCGUAAGCAAGCAGUAUCUUUUUAUGGGCAUUUUAGGUAAUUUUGGAUAAUGUUAUACCUUUAAUCAUAGAUAUUAGCCAAUAGGAUAAUGAGGAAUACCUCAUACAUAGAUUGGUAACAUUAUGGGGCUAGAGUUUAUAUUUUUUGUGGUUAAUCAUCUUGAAUGUUUGUCUAGAGAUGUCGGAAUUUCUUUCUCUGUGACUACCUGUUCCGAAUUCUGAAGGGGUGGCAGUUUUGUCUGAUUGGGGGUGUCUGGGGUUCUGCACACACACACACUCGCCCACCGACUGUCGGAGUCUCGGAUUACAUGCUGGCAGCCCUUUUUGAUGGAUGGAUGGAUGGGUGGGCGCAUUCCGUUUCCCUUUGCUUACUUACUUCAGCAGAGCAGCGGACACAGAACAGAAAACUGGUUGUCGCCGGCGGAGUGAAGAAUCGUGUGAGCAAACCAGGAGAUCAGUGCAAGUAGAGGAGGUGAGGGAACUGGAGGAGGAGUGGGACUGCCAGGGGGGUCGGGGGACAGUCGAGUGACAGUUGGCACGGAAGUGGUUUUGAUUUAAUGCCGCUUGGCGCUGGAUGACGCAAGAUAAACAGAUGCUACCCGGCGAAGAACAGGUGUCGACAGGUGGGAGAAGCAGCGCGAGAAAGGUAGAUGAGAGAAAGAGGGCGAAACUAAAGUCGAUUAGGAAACCUUAAAUGGGUAUCGGAAAAGAAGCACCUUUUAUGAUGUUAUGAUUCAUUUGGCGACUGCCCAAAUCAUUGCCUCAUUAUAAAUUCAAGCUAAUCUGCAGUCCAAGUAGAUAUAAAAUGUUCAGCAGUGAAAAAGGCCAUGGCAGAAUGUUCAUUAUUAAAGCUGAAGUUUGCUGAACAAAUUAAGAACAACUUUUACAGCUUCCCUGUAUGUUUUAAAUCGAUCUUCUUUUUAGCCGUUUGAGCUUCCUCCCCUGCAAACAUUUCACGCACUUUUGAUUGUUCUUGUGCGGUUUAUCUAAUUUGUAAUUGCUGCCGAAAAUGAAAUUCCGAAACAGAGGAAGGCCAAACCACAGAAUACAAUCACAGCAAACGAAUGGCUGGUACUCGAGGACUCAAGGACUAGGGCUGAUGGCGAAUUUUCGUAGGGAGCAUCAGGAAACGGCAGCAGACAAAAUAAAUCCCCCCACUGGGCAUACUUGUGGCUUAUUGGCAAUCAAAUUUGGCACAGAGCUCGUGUCUAAGCCAAGGAAAAUGAAGGCAGCGACACAGUGGAACAGGGUGGAAAUGUGUAAGUGGCAGGCUGGAGUUUCGGCUGAUUAGCAUAAUUGACUUUGUGUUAAAUUUAGCAUUUAAUUAAUGCGACUGCAGAGCUAGCGACCAGCUAGCCCAUAUGUAACGCCAAGGUGAUCCCCAACCCUCGAAUCGGUUUGCAAACUGGCGAUUUGUAAACGCAGAUUUAGGGAAACACCAACCAACGAUUUUUCAGGCGAUUGUUGUUCCUCCUUUUUGGUGCUCAGCCUGGCACACACAUGUGCUCCAGUUUCAAGCCCGAAACUCUCCCUCAGCUCGCCGGCACUUGAACAAAGCCCGGCCAUAAUUGACUUUUCCAGCAGCAGACGCCGGCGGGCAAGCCACAACCACUUAACACCUCCCAGCCACCCACAAACAAAGCGGAUGGAAGAAGGAAAGGCGUUCUAGAAAACUUUGGGCCAACCCCUCGGCAAAGCACUUAACAUGUUCAUCAAUUGCGCCCGUCUUCUCCGCCUCUGCCCCCCAAUUUUCCGGCCCAGAGCCGCACAUACAGCAGACACCCGACAAAGUGUCCCGGCUUACAGUGAAGCCUGGCAAUGGAAAAUAGAGCAGGUAGGAAUCCCGCUGGGGGUCGACAGUGGAGGUGGUAGAAAUCUGGCCAAGCCAAAACAAUGCAGAGCUCCACAGCAAGGGGAAGAAGCCGGAAACCCACUGAGAGCGCCGAGAAAUUGUUUGGCGACAGGAAAAGCAGCCAGCAAAAGUGGAACACAUUUCAGCACUGUGAAAAAUAGGUGCAUUUGUAUAUGGAAGCAACUAAAAUAUUUUAUUAGGACUAAAGUAGGUUGAUAUACUUAUAGGUUCGAUUUAUAUAAAAUGUAUGUUCCCUCUAGAAAGAAUGUGCUUAACAAUAAAGAGCCAUUUAUAAUUUAUAGUUUAGUCCAAACUUGAACAGAUUUUCUGCCGGUGCAGCGCAGAGGGAGUUGGCUGACAGCGACGCCUACGCAAGAGACGCUGUAAUUUGUUAGAUGCGCCACGCCAAAUGACAAAGCCAAAGCCAAAGCCAAGUCAAGGCCCCAAGAGGUUGGGGCUGUAACUCAAGCGGAGCUUGAAGAAGCGCUGUCUGCGAUGUAGGCGAUCAAAAAUGUGGCAAGCUAAGUUUGGUCAGAGUCUAGACAAGAAUCUUAGCUAAUGAAUGUCAUCGCAAAGAACUAGUUAAACCAGUUUAAGGCGCACUCGCGGCUUGAAAAGAACUUCAAACGGAUGACUUUUGGGCCUUUGAAGAAUCUCCCAGGGGCACUACAUUUAAUACCAUACAAGAAAGGUGUUUUGCACUUUUCCUCGGGGAAUAUAUUUCCCGGGUGAUGGCAAACCAGUUUGGUUAUUAAGCAUUGUACACUAAAAUUGUUAAUGUAGUUUACUUGGACUUCCUUGUACUUGACAGAACUAUAAAUGAGCAAUACCUUAAAACUUAAAAAAUGUUUUACCUUCCCCUAAAACUAAAAAAUAACAAAAUAUCAGGUCAUUAGCUCGCUCUUGGUAAUUUUUGUGAGCAUGACAUCUCUAUGUGAUCUUUGCGAUCUCUGCGAACCAAAGCCAUGAUUAAUUUGCCUUUUUGGCCGCACACGCUGAUCGCUCGAAUGGCAGAGAGCUGGAAGGUUUCCUCACUCAACGCGGUGUCAAAUGCAAAUGGGACCCCGCUCGAGUUGAUGAACACUUUGUGGAAGUUUAUGCAAAUGACCAGUUGUUGGAGUAGCUGCAUAAGUAUCCGCAUAAUUACCCAUAAUGAGUAGAAAAUGGAAAGUAUCUGACGAGUGGGUUAAGCAAACUGUGGUUGAACGACCAAGGGGAUUGAAAAUGCGCUGCUAAGUCAGCGGUGAUUUUCCCAUUGUCGGUCAUCGAUUGGCGGCUUUCCAGUGAAGCAUAUGACUAUAGGUAUGUGUAGUUAUUACCAACUCGAGGUGUAAACGGAUACAGAACUUUGGCAAGGAAGGGGUAAUACGUUGCGCAAAUUUGCAUGGCGUCAACAGGUGGCUCGCUGCAAACCGAAGCGCGAAAUCUAUUUAUUUAGCUACACAUUUCGCUUUGUUUUCGUCUUGCUCUCAACUUGAGCCAACUUAAAGCACUUGGGCCACAGUUUUGUAGACUCUUACUUCUCGGCUCCGGCAAUGUCAGCUCACUCGGCUUUUAGCUGCACUUCAAAUCAUCGACUGCCUGACUGGAAACCAACUGCGGCUGCAGCCAAAAUGCAAAUCUAUGUGAUGCAACAACAGUCAAGCUCAGCACAAAAGCGCCUCCUCUCGUUCGAUCUUCAAUGGCUGCUCAACUCAAGUCGACUUGACUUGGCUCUGGAGUUGGAGCUGGAGCUUCAGCUGGGGGCAAGCAAAAAAAGACUGGGCCCGCGGCAUCGGAUACUUUGUAAUAAUCUCCACUAACAGUUGGAAAUACUCGCCGUACACAACACAUAAAUAUCUUCAUAUGAUGUGGCUCGGGCGAACGAAUGGCUUUCUGAUGAUAAUGAUGAUGAUGAUGAUGACGAGGUUGCCGGCAGUCUAUCAAUGCAGUUUACCCAUUAGAGAUGGCUUCGUGAAUGGGAAGGAUGUAUAAAAUAAAUCAGUCCAACUUCGUUACUACUUUAUUUAGUUUUUUCUGAAUCAUUAGAUUCUAUUAAGUCGUGUAGUUUAUUUAAAGUUGAAUUCAUAUGGAAUUCCACUUUAGUGCUGCAUCACUUUUCCGACUGAAUUUCACUUUCAAAUGAUUUUUAUGGAUUUAAGAAUUUAGUUUGCGCUUCUGCUGCAUUCCCCUUUUACGCACUGCCAUCACUACGAGUUGUUUGCGUAUAUUGCCAUUUGUCAUUUCCCGCUGAUUUCCAUUGUUUUUCACCAAAGCCAUUGUCUUCUUCAUCGCUGCGCUUGGAGUUGUAGCCACAUCCACUGGUAUUCGAGUUCGGAUUAGUAUACAGAUUCGUUUUGCUUUAUUUUUCCACCUUUUUUUUGCUGAGCGGCGCGUCAGAAACUCGUGCAUGGGGAUCAAUCUCUCCAUUAGACUCGUCAUCGCAGCUUGAGACCCUCUGCACCUCGACUGCCAGUCGGUUAUUGCAUUGUAAAGACAGAAGGCGACAGCCACAAUGGCAAUGUAAUGAUGUUUGCGUCAUGAGCGGCAUUUCUAGCUCAAGAGUGUGGAGUAUCGCUAUAUCUACAUAUCUACUUAUAUCCAAGUAUCCAAGUAUCUCUGUAUCUCUGUAUCUUUGUAUCCGCUGUCGUGCACUUGUAGAGCUCCGCUGUUCGUCGCCCUUCGCUCAAGCGUCUCACAUUUCGCAUUUGCGGGUACUACGAGUGUUGUGUAAUAUAUGUAGGACUGCAUUGUUGGUGGCUUGCCGGGAAUUGGGUAACACAUAUGGCCAAUAUCAAAUAUGUACCAGCGCCUCAGACUCAAAACUGAAAACGAAACCCAUGACACGGGAAAUAUAUGAAACUCAUCUCCGCACAUGGAGAUGGAUUGCCGCGUUACAUUUGCAUCUUUUGCAUAGUUUAUCAAUUUAAGGUGCCAUCGGGGCUAAAGCCUUUUGAUAAAUUGCUCAAAACGAAAGCAACGUUUCUGUAUCUGUAUCUGUAUCUCUCAGGUAUCUCUGUGAUGUGUACAUAAAUAUGAAACGAGCCAAAUUCAACAAUCAAUCAGCGGAAGACGACACUCAAUGCAAAUGGCCAAUUUGUUUAUAAAUAAAUGUUUGACAAUUUUUGAGAGGCCAAUAGGUAGGGGGAUGGGGGGUAAAAGCUUUAUGGGCAAAACAAACAAGAAAGCAAAACAAUAUUUGUCUGCAGAUGCAAACAUAUUGAUUCGAAAUUAAAAUUCCCAUCCCAGGACAUUCGAAAUGAAAAUAAACCUCUAUUUAUGAAUAUAUCUUAUGCUACGUAUUUUGAAACUCUUCCAAUUGUUUUUGAAUAUUAAGGAAAAGAAUUAUCAUUUUUGUUGGACUAUGGAGUAGAGUUCAUAAUUUGGUCGAGUGCAUAUGGCUUUCAGUUAAGCACGUGCGCCUACAAUAAAAUUUCGAAAUUUAUUGCCUGGUUACUGUAAAAAUACAGGAUACCUUUUUGGCCACUUCCACCCCUCGAUUCCUUGUAACUCCCUCCCCAAGCACCCAGCUCCUUGACCCCGAUGCAUGUGUGAGUGUGUGUGAGUGCGCGAGUGUAUCCUUGUAUUAAUGUUGCAUGUUCAUUUGGCUUGCGUGCAGGUCUUUCGACGCUUUUGCUCCGACUCAUGCUGGUAGUAAAUUACGGUGGCCGAGCCACCGAACGAAAACGAACCCCUAACCUUGGUUGCAACCCCUGGUUGGUGCUGGCGUAUCCAGAGUUUGGACUGGUUUCCAGGACUCCUGGCUUGCCACUAUUUCCAGGUCCUGCCGUGCCUUGUCCCGCCCCUAAAAACGAGCCGCGCGACAGCUGAUGGCGAUGGUUUCCUCUUUCUGGCCCGCUUCGCAAUUGGUUUUAUGACCACCCAAAGGCCACUGAACCGCACCUUAAAAACGGCGCUAAAGCAAAACGUGGCCAAGUCAGUUUGAUUAAAACUAUACACAGUGCACACGGAGACAGAUACAUACGGGCUACAGUAAUAAAUGGCCAUACAUGGACACAUGGGAGCAGCCGCCUUAGGUCUUCAAAUGCGCUGCUGUCGCUUUUUUUUUUUUCUUUUGGUUCUGUAUUUGGUUGGUAUACCCUUACAUAGCGUUCUAUUAUAAUUCCCAGAAUGUCGACAUUAACGGAGUAAGGGAAAUGUAUCCACACCUUGGUGGAAUAUUUGCGUAUUUUGGAUAAUUCUUGACAAUUCAUUUUAACCUUGUUUUGCUUAUUUUGGUAAAAAAGAAAUAAUUACUGAAACUUAUUCGCUUAUUUGGGAUUAUUGUCAUAAGAAGGUUCUGUUGUGGAAACGAUCGGUUCCAUCCAAUCAUUCCACUCUACCACUAAGAAACCUUUGCGUAAGGGUAUUCCAGAGGUCGACCUUUGCAGCAGUCAGACUUUUCUCGUAUUUUGUAAUGUUUUUUGUUUUAAUAGUCUUGGCUUGACCUCGUCACCGGUUCGCGUUUGGUCCCAGCGCCGCUCCCUUCUUUUGACCCUUUGGCUUCCUCUUUCUCUUCCUGUUCCUGUCGCCCAUCUGUCCGGUCGCCCUCUCUCUGUCGCACCCCCUACCUCGGCCCCUGCCCCUGUUAGGAUAUCCAUCUCUUUCUGGCCGCGUGUGUUUGCCGGGCGGCUGGUUUGUCAUGUUUCAUGUCGGAAGUGGAAAUUAUCCGCAGUGCACUUUGCCAUUGCCAUUGCCCUGGUGACUGACUGGCUACCCACAACCACUCCACCACUUUACCACUCCAGCACUCCGCCCCUCUGCAUCCGUAUCUGUCUCCCUCUGGGCCUCCCUUUUGGCCUUAGCAUUUUGGUUUCGUUUCGUUUCGUUUUCAUUACCCGCUAUCGCAAUCCCCUGGCAAGUCAUUGACACACCUGUGGUGAGCAUUAUCAGGGGCGGAAUGGCCGAAAGGCGAGGUGGGCGGGAGGGAGAGGUUGGGUUAGGUCCCUAACAACCAGGUAAUACAACUCCCCAACCCUCAAUUCCGCGCCCUGAGACUCGCAUUCUCUGGAGAAUUUUGAGCAUUUGCAGGCGGUUUCACCUCAGUGAAUUGCAUUGUUGAUGGCGGAUUGGGUAGAUACACGUACUCGUAUAAACUCGUACAUAGAUAGGUACAGCAUUAGGUGCAUGCAACGAGAUCGUUGGUCGUUUGCCCAACGGGGUCAUUAGAUAUAUAUAUAUAUAUAUAUAUAUUCUUUCAUAAUCAAUAUUUACAAGCGAGAAUUAAGUGCUCUUCUCAAGAAUAAUAGCAACUUUAUAAUACGUAGGUUUAAUGUCAAUGUGUAGGUCAGCUUAGAUCAAGAGAACCCAAAUUGUAAUUGCACUUGGCAAGAACUUUUCAAUCAAAAGCUAGCUGAAAUGUCAGCUACCAGAGCUCCAGGUGAUUAUCUAACUUUCUACUGCCCCCAAAUUAUCCCACCGAACAGAGAACAAUUUUGGAAUCAGUAGUUUCCCAGAACAGAAAUUCCCCCUGGCUAUUAAAGCGAAACACACAAAAGUUCGUUCGAAUAACACUUCCGAAAACCAUUUGCGGUGCUGGCGAUAAUUGUUUGUAACUAGUUACAAACCAGACCCGCACUCCGAUGUGGCGAACCUCAUUACGACUUUGGACAUUCGCCACGCAUUCAGCUCCUUUCAGAACCGAAGAACCUAAUGAUCAUUCGAUUCAUUUCUGGUUUUCAUGGCGGUCGAGAGAGAGAAGUCUCGGCAUAAAUUCAAUUAGAUUUUAUUGAUGAUUGAUUUCUGUUCGUGGGGAGGGGAAAGGAGGGUUAGGAGCACAGCAAUGCGGGGUCAGAGUUUCCCGCGAGAUCUUCCAAGAUCAUUCCCUCUCUUUUUCCUGCAGAAAACAUGCGCUAAUUGUCUUUAAUUCAAUUAGGACACAAGCACACACACACUCACACUCCAUCCCACACUUAACUUCAAUUGCCGUGACCCAACGAGCCACCUCCCCCUGCCCCUCGCUGACACUUCUCUUAGCUGAAUUCAUCAGAUACUCGCACUUAUCCGCCGCAUCGCCUGUUUCCCAUAUGCAUAUAUAUGGAUUUAUGGAUUCGUGAUUAUAUUUCCGCUCCCAAACGCAAAUAAACAAGCACACCGAUAGCCAAACAGUCCAAGUUUAUUGAUAUAGUUUCCUAUGGCUUUCUCUUUCUCCCCCGAUUUGCUGUCUCAUUGCCCGCCUAUUACACACAAAUGCAAGAGAAGUAUUCAUGCAAUUGCCGGCUCUUGUUAUCAGCCUCAUACCUAGAUAUGUAUGAUAUUUAUAUCUAUAUUUGUAUACGAUUCGGUCCUCACUUUUGUCGAUAUUGUAUGUUGUAUAAUGUACGCAAACAGCGCUUGGCCAUCAGCAGUCGAUAGAUAAGUUGGAAUUGGCUCUAGUUUCGACUCGAAUUUCUCCGAAGACAGCUGGCAACACUCCCCGAGCCGCCCAAAACAAACCCCCCUUCUCCAAGCCUUGAGCUCCCCCAUAUAAUCACCCCUCCAACCAUCGAUCAGUUCGCCUUACUGCGCGGCUCGUUAGGCGACCCGUGACGGAUAUUAUUGGGAGGUCUGGGUCGCUGGUCUGGCAUUCGGGGCGAGAAAGAGAGGAACAGCACAUGCAAGUCGAGUGCACUGACAGAAAUUAGUGUGCCUUCCAAAUUUCUUCACUUUCUGAUAAGCAUUAUCUUUCGUCACUACGUAGCUUCCCAAGUAAACUCAUUGCUUUUAACUCGCCUCUGGCCAAAUAAUACGUAUCAAAAUUUUAUGAUUUGUCAUGUUUUGAUGGUACAAUUGAAGCCAUUACUAUUAACUAUUAUGUUUCACCUAAUUUAGAACUUUCUUCGGAUGCCGCCAAUAAACUUCACAUGAAAUGCCCCGAUUUCUCGCUGUGCACGAGCAUGACUUGCCCAAAGUUCGCUUUUCUCCCCCAAGUGAACGCUAUGUACAUAUCUUACUCUCUCGUUUGGGCUUAUUGUUUUAGUUGCCUUGCUCCGCUUCGCUUUGAGCAGCUGCUAUAUAGACGUACAUAUAUACAGAGUCAACAGCGGCUGGGAGAACAACAACUACAAUCUACAUACAGUUCAUUUUAAUUGACAUCGAUAAUUAAAAAACUAUUUUGAGUUCGGCUUUCUGUAUCGCCAAGUUUCCUCUUCGAGCUGAGCUAAGCAGUUUCAGCUUUCAGCAGCGCUCUUUUUUGAUUCCGUGAGCUUGUUUGUUGCUGUUGGCUUUAUGAUCUGUAACCCCAAAAGCCUUUGUCUCACAGAUACUUGCUCUACUUUCCCGGGGUUUCAUUGUUAUUCAGCUGCAACCACUGAAAGGUCGAGGUGCUGGCCACUCGAGAGCCAAACCGAGUCAAGGGCCAAGAUACAAGUUUUGCCCCAAACCCCUUUUGCCUCUUUAGCUAUCUUCUACUUGUAUAUGUGCUGCUGUCGUAAUUGCCCAACAAUUAAUAAAGUUAACCACUUUCGUUGUUUGAUAUCUACCUCAUUGCGCCGUCAAGUGCGACGUUCUGAUUACGAAUCACGGAAAAUAUCUCGAGCUCAUAAAAGUAAGGAACGUUAUAAAAAGCCAAAAGUCGUCUGCCUCUGACACACAUAAUGUAAUCGGUUAUUGGUAUAUUGAUAAAAACAAAAAAAAGAGGGAAACUAGGAAAAGAAAUAAGUACUAUAUAAGGUGCUGUUAUGACUCGGAAGGCGACACCACGAAGUUGGCUUUAGAUAAGAUUUUCUACCUAUACAGUAGCAGUAGUUUAAUUGAACUUAAUUGAAGGUGGUUGAUUGCAGUUCUAGAUUGAAAAGAGCGCCUUUGUUUGGGGUGUUUUUCGGGGACUAAAUUCGGUUGGAAGUUAAAGUGGCGACACCUACCAUUUUCAAAAAUAUAUUUAGCUUAAAUAAAGAGGGCGCUUACUUCCAGCAGUUCUCUCUCAGUUUUUGCUAAUCAUAACGUACUGUGCAUAAGAUAUUCUCAUUCUUCUCUCUAUGAGUCAGUUACACGGAUAUUGUGAUCGAAUAAACUAAGGUCUCUAACUUCCCAGAAGUUAGGUCAUCCACAAGCUUUUCUACUCAUAUCCAAAAACUAUUAGCCGAGUCUAUCCCCUUGAGUAGUUCGUGGAACUAGUCGUCGGAUAUGGAGUAAUGGCCCGGCUUUGGUUCCCACUUCGAAGUUCCCUCCACGGCGAGGCGGCGAUAAGAGUUCUGUUCCCUAGGCAUAAUUUGUGGGUCAAGUACAAAACACUGCCUGCUUGCAGUGGAGCAAUGGAGCAAUGGAGCAAUGGAGCAGUGGGGCUGCUGGAAAUAUUCAGCAUGGUGGUGCGCUCAAUCUUAAAUCGCAAUCGCCAUUUCAAUUUGCACUUUUCAAUUUGUAUUUUUUGAUUUCAAAUUUCGCUAAAUCGGUUUACAAUUUGACGGUGUCUAUUGCUUUUCCAUGGACUUUUAUGCGGUUUUAAUAAAGCCUUUUCAGACUUUUA
Molecule: long non-coding RNA, 11538 nt
Organism: Drosophila yakuba
Lineage: Eukaryota; Metazoa; Arthropoda; Insecta; Diptera; Drosophilidae
Exons: 2
Source: RefSeq, a predicted model, not a curated record